Sphaerodactylus townsendi is the source of this 1628-nucleotide long non-coding RNA. RefSeq lists it as uncharacterized. The record is from RefSeq and is a predicted model, not a curated record. The transcript is spliced from 3 exons. NCBI's taxonomy places the organism in Eukaryota, Metazoa, Chordata, Lepidosauria, Squamata, Sphaerodactylidae.
GAGGGGAGAAAUUUGGCAACUUUGACACUGAACUUUCGGGGUAGGGGGGCUCCAAUUAAGCACAAAAAAAUAGCACAUGUCACUAGGGGAUGGGAAGGCUGAACAGCAGUGACAUAACGAAGGAAGCCAGAAAGAUUGUUUUAAAAUGUAGACAUUUUUGCAUAGACAUAGAUGCCCAGCAGAUAUCCUCGGGCACUGUUUCGCAUUUGGCUAGAGUGCAUUUAGAGUGGCAAGUCGGAACUGGAUCGGCGCAAGAGUCUAGCUACAGCAGACAGCUCCCCGGCUUUGCAGACAGACUGUCAGCAUGAAAACAAGCAAGCUCGCAUCACUGGAGGAAACCAGGAAGCCAGGUCCUGUGCAUUCUGAUUCCUGCGCUUUCAGCCUCGAGGGAUAGCGGCACCGAACAGGAACCUUUGGAGCCUUGUUCCAGGCCUACUGGGACACUUUUCAAGGGUGGUGGUGGUGGGGGGAAUCUUCGCCUACAAUUCAGCCAUGCAAAACUACCGCUCAAGCUGCAAACCUCUUCCCCCCGCCGGAGGUCAUCAGACUGCAAAUUCCGUCUCUCCAAUUAAGCCAAGGCAGACAACGAUAAAACAAAGCCUUCCCAACCACCUGUAAUAAUGUGCCCUGGCAGGCAGCAAUCGCGGAAUACCAAGAAACACAAAGAAAAGACAUGUCUUGAAGGCACUGAAUGAAAUCUACAUGUCCCUCUUCUUCUCUCUGCCUGCCCAGAACAUGAUGCUGGGCAAUUAGUGGCGAUUUCGGGGAUCAGCAACUCAGAGAGAGACCUCGGCUGCUUUUCAUUUCCAGCAUUUUUUUUUAAUACCAAGCGUGGGAGUGAGGAGGAGGAGGAAGAAGAGGCAGAGCUCGCCCGGAGGGGGAAAAAGGAAAAGGAUAAGACUUUCUUCCUAGAGUGACAUUUUCAUGCAGCUCAUCAGGAGUUUUAUCCACCUGGUAAUUCCCUCAAGAGCAAAUAAAGCCAAUUCUGAACGAGGGCAUUCGCUUCCUUGGCUCUGAGUGAAGUCUGAAGUUGAUGACAUCACUGAUCCUAGGAUGAUCAACUUUUUAAAAAGGAAAUGACAGUCAAGAGGGAGUUGUGAAGAUGGUUACUCCAAAGCUCCAAAUACUACCAACCAAAUGCCAGGUACUAGAAAGAAAAGUACUGUUGAAAUAAGUGUAAGGAAAGGGCCACAAAUGAAUACUACAUAAAUUUUAAUCUCCCUUCACCAAAAAGAGAAAUCAUUUAAAGGGCAAGAACAUUAUUUCACAAAAUGUACCUGUGCCUGCAUGUUUGUGUCUUUAAAAGACAGGUAAGUUGUAGAAUGGUGGGCGAAAGAGGGAUGAGAGAAGUGAUUGGUUGACACUUGAGAGAGGCAGUGAGUGGGGGGGGGGGUUGAAUGAGAGUCAGCCAAUCAACUGGAGGAAAGACAGUGAGAAGGGGCCGAAGUAAAGAGAGAACAGUGUGAUAAUAGCCUAGAAACUGUUAGGGGGGUUGUAUCUAGUUGAUCGAAAUGAUUCCUAGCUCAGUUUAAUUGCCAAAAGGUAUGUGUAACCAGCCUGCUAUAUGUUAUCACUGCCAUCCUGGGACAUUCUUUCCUUGAUCUUGGCUUUAUGGCUUCACAUGCCAA